RNAcentral lists this transfer RNA (73 nucleotides) under Paenibacillus amylolyticus. RNAcentral's name for it is "tRNA-Glu". The record is from RNAcentral. Lineage: Bacteria; Bacillati; Bacillota; Bacilli; Caryophanales; Paenibacillaceae.
CCGGGGAUAGCGUAUGCUUCCGAUGCAGCUUUCUUUCAGAAAGCUUUUAGGCGAACGUUUCGCUUUUUCAGGU